This 301-nucleotide ribosomal RNA is filed under the name uncultured bacterium. Its description in RNAcentral is "partial 16S ribosomal RNA". It matches the Rfam family "Bacterial small subunit ribosomal RNA", at positions 509 to 809 of the family's 1533-position model. The record is from RNAcentral.
CAGUCGCCACGGUAAUACGUAGGUGGCAAGCGUUGUCCGGAAUUAUUGGGCGUAAAGGGAGCGCAGGCGGACAUAUAAGUCCAUCUUAAAAGUGCGGGGCUCAACCCCGUGAGGGGAUGGAAACUGUAUGCCUUGAGUGCAGGAGAGGAAAGCGGAAUUCCCAGUGUAGCGGUGAAAUGCGUAGAUAUUGGGAGGAACACCAGUGGCGAAGGCGGCUUUCUGGACUGCAACUGACGCUGAGGCUCGAAAGCCAGGGGAGCGAACGGGAUUAGAUACCCCCGUAGUCCCUGUCUCUUAUACA